Molecule: long non-coding RNA, 356 nt
Organism: Schistocerca nitens (vagrant locust)
Lineage: Eukaryota; Metazoa; Arthropoda; Insecta; Orthoptera; Acrididae
Exons: 3
Source: RefSeq, a predicted model, not a curated record
CGCCAUAUUUGUUUACAAAUGUGGCAGUAUACAUGUGAUGUGUUACGACAGCAAAAGGAACCUGUGAUCACUGAAGGAGGUCUCGAUAAUGUGAAGACGCGACAGUACGCCUGACAGCCUCUCUGGGUGCAUUCUCUUCAAAGAAGAACGGACCGAGAACAAAGGUAAUGUGAAUCCGCACCACACGGCCACACAAGAGCUGUGUGCGUGGCAUGGAGCUGGACAGCAGGCCAGAGAGCGGAGGGAGCGCGAUGCCCAGAAGAGCCCCGCCUGCCGCGACCACUGACCUGGAGUGCGUGCUGCGGCCGCUCGUGGCGCUGUCGUCGCUGCUGGGGGUGCCGCCCUGCCGCCCCCGG